GGGAUUAAUUCUGUCAAAUUUGGAUUAUGAACUAUUACUUCCUCUGUAGGUACUAGCUUGUGCCUUGACCUGUGUCUUAGAAAAUUAUCAGUACCCAAAGCUUUCGCGAAGCCAUCUGCAUACUUUAAUUUUGAUGGUAUGUAUUCUACUUUUAAGAUUCCUUUGCUUAUCAAUUCUCUUACAAAGUAGUAACUUAUUUCUAUGUGUCUUGAUCUAGAGGUGAUUGUUGGAUUUUUAGUCAUGAAUAUUGCUGAUUUACUAUCACAUAAUAGUCUUGGAGGAUUCUUCAAUUUUAUUUCCAAUUCUCUUAGAAGAUAACAGUACCAUCUUAACUCUGAGGUGACAUGAGCCAUGGCUUUGAACUCUGCCUCUGUACUUGAAUUAGAGACAGCUGGUUGUUUCUUUGCAGACCAUGAAAGUAAAUUUCCCCAUACCAAAUACUAGAGCCUGUGAUGGAUCUUCUAUCAUAUGUUCCUCUCCAAUCAGAAUCUGUGUAGGCUGCUAAAUCUGGAAAUGCUUCUGAGUUUCUUGUAAUUCUCAAGCCCAAGUAUUCAGUUCCUCUUAAGUAUCUGAAUAUCCUUUUUAUUGCAUUUAAAUGACCCUCUUUAUGAUUUUGGAAAAAUUGACACACUUGAUUAAUAGGGAAUGACAAGUCUAGUCUGAUCAGUGUUAGAUAUUGCAGACUUCCUACCAUACUUCUGUAGCCUGUGAUAUCUUUCACAUCUUCCCCCAUAUCUGCUUGUAACUUCGUAGAUAGUGUUAUGGGAGUCCUUACUGGAUUAGACAGAUGAUAUCCUACUUUUUUAAUAUCUCUUGUGUAUAAUUUUGUUGUGAAAGUACCAUAUUUUCUCCUUGGUAUAUGCAUUCAAUGCCUAGAAAGAAACUGAGUUUCCCCAUAUCUCUACAUUGAAAGGUGGUACAAAUAUUUUUUAUGAAUUCUGAUAUCUUUUGCAUAUAUGUUCCUGUCACAAUUAUAUCAUCAACAUAUAUUAAGACCAUCAAUUUUGAUUCACCUGAAUUUUUGUAAAAAAGAGAGGCAUCUGCAUUUGAAUUCUUAAAUUCUUGAGAUAUAAGUUGCUCCUGUAAUCUGAGGUACCAAGCUCUAGGAGCUUGCUUGAGGCCAUACAAGGCUUUCUGUAGUAGGCACACAUCUUGGGGUCUUGUCUCAUCUUCAAAGCCCUUAGGCUGCUUCAUAUAGACUGUCUCCUGUAAAUACCCAUUUAAAAAUGCAUUCUUGAUGUCCAAUUGCCUUAAUGUCCAUCCAUGACUGACUGCUAAUGAUAAUAUGGUUCUUAUUGUUGAAAUUUUAACCACUGGGCUAUAGGUAUACUGAAAGUCUAUUCCUUCCUCUUGGUUGCAUCCUUGAGCAACCAACCUUGCUUUGUAUCUUUCUAUUGUUCCAUCUGAUUUCCUCUUUAUCUUAUACACCCACCUAGAGCCAAUUAUGUUCAUGUAAUUUUCCUUCUUUACUAGAGUCCAGGUAUUAUUUUCUUUUAUAGCUUUUAUUUCUUCUUCCAUGGCUUUCCUCCAGCAUUCAUACUUAUUAGCUUGUGAAAAAAAUUGAGGCUCACAACAUUCAUUAGAAACAUAUGUAUUACAGACAAAAUCUUUAUAUUUAGUGGAUGGAAUUUUUAAUCUAUGUGAUCUUCCCAAUUCUGACGAAAUGUUCUGUCAUGAUGGUCAGAACCAGAUGGGUUAUGACUUGUAUUUAAGUCCAAGUCUGCCCUGCUCUCAGAAUUUACAAUAGAAAUCGGUUGUAUGUUAUGUUGAACAUCAGAACUUUGAUUAAUAGUAUCUGUAUUAGUAGAUAUACUUUGUUCAGAUUGAUUUGUGUUAGAAAGUUGAUCAGGAGGAUCCCUUUCUAAGCUUUCACUGUCUAUAAUCAUCUGUUGAUUGGAUGAUUCAAUGACUUGUGGGACUGGAGCUGGAAUUUGUUUUUGUGAUAUUGUUAGAAAGUCUAAGGGUUUUCUUUUUUGAUUUUGGGUUUCUACAUUCCUUGAUGGAAUAUCAAGGAAAGGGAAAGACACUUCAUCGAAAAUUACAUCUCUACAUAUUCUUAUAUCUCUGGUUUCUAUGUCCAAGCACCUGUAGCCUUUCUGUUGUGUAGCAUAACCCAAGAAGACACAUGCCUUUGAUUUUGGCAUCAAUUUAUUCCUUCCAAUUCUUGGUAAUAAAGGAAAGCAUUUGCAUCCAAUUGUCUUUAAUUCACUGUAAUCAGGUAUUUUAUUUAGUAACACCUCAUAUGGACUUUUGUUCUCCAAUGUUGGUGUCUUGAUUUUGUUAAUCAAAUAGACUGCUGAAGAGAAUAUUUCUGGCCAAUACUCAUGAGGGAUACCUGAUUUUAUGAGCAAACACCUUCCAACCUCAAUUAUUUGUCUAUGUCUCCUUUUUACAAGUCCAUUCUGUUUUGGAGUGUAUGGACAUGACAUUCUAUGACCAAUUCCCAUUUUCUCUAAGUAUUCUCUGAAUCUAAUGUUCACAAAUUCUCCUCCCUGAUCUGUUUGUACUUCUCCUAUUUUUAAAUCAAAAAAUCUCUCUACUUGUACAUGAAACUUCAGAAAGACUGAUGUAAAAACUGAUUUAUUAAUGAUUGGAUAAAACCAAUUAAAUCUAGUACAUUCAUCAACAAUUGAUAUGUAAAAUCUAUAGUUAUUUACAGAUGUAGUUGGAGAUGGACCCCAAGGAUCUAUAUGUAAAACUUGCAGUGGUUGAGUAGCUAAAUUCUCCCUUCUUUUAUAAGGUAGCUGAUGUGCCUUUCCCAAAGGACAGACUGAACAGAAUGGAUUCUUCUUUUUUUUGCUGGGUUCUAUCAUUAAUUCUGAGGAUAAUUGAUUUAAAACUGUAUCAGAAGGGUGUCCCAGCAUUUCAUGCCAUUUUUCCUUAGUAACCCUUACUCCAUAACAUGCUUGCAUAUCUAAGUAUAGAGGAUAUAGACCUUCUUUACUAAUGCCAGAAAAUAAUAUCUCCAUAGUUUCCCGGUCCUUAAUCAAAAAAUUCAUAUUGUUAAAAAUCACCAAACAAUUUAAAUCUCUAGAGAGUUUUUGUAUAGACAAUAGAUUUUUCUGUAAACCCUGGCACACAUAAUACUCCCUCUAAAAUAAAAUUUUCCCUCCUGAUUUUAAGUUAUUCUCCCUCUAUAAG
Molecule: long non-coding RNA, 3141 nt
Filed under: Zostera marina
Lineage: Eukaryota; Viridiplantae; Streptophyta; Magnoliopsida; Alismatales; Zosteraceae
Description: long non-coding RNA (ZMAR_LNC001869)
Source: RNAcentral